RNAcentral lists this ribosomal RNA (416 nucleotides) under uncultured archaeon. RNAcentral describes it as "bacterial SSU rRNA". It matches the Rfam family "Bacterial small subunit ribosomal RNA", at positions 509 to 926 of the family's 1533-position model. The record is from RNAcentral.
CAGCCGCCGCGGUAAUACGGAGGGUGCAAGCGUUAUCCGGAUUCACUGGGUUUAAAGGGUGCGUAGGCGGGCAGGUAAGUCAGUGGUGAAAUCCUGGAGCUCAACUCCAGAACUGCCAUUGAUACUAUCUGUCUUGAAUAUUGUGGAGGUAAGCGGAAUAUGUCAUGUAGCGGUGAAAUGCUUAGAUAUGACAUAGAACACCCAUUGCGAAGGCAGCUUACUACGCAUAUAUUGACGCUGAGGCACGAAAGCGUGGGGAUCAAACAGGAUUAGAUACCCUGGUAGUCCACGCCCUAAACGAUGGAUACUCGACAUACGCGAUACACUGUGUGUGUCUGAGCGAAAGCAUUAAGUAUCCCACCUGGGAAGUACGUUCGCAAGAAUGAAACUCAAAGGAAUUGGCGGGGGGAGCACAC